GUGAACUCGAAGAGUAGGGCGGGACACGUGGUAUCCUGUCUGAAUAUGGGGGGACCAUCCUCCAAGGCUAAAUACUCCUGACUGACCGAUAGUGAACCAGUACCGUGAGGGAAAGGCGAAAAGAACCCCGGCGAGGGGAGUGAAAAAGAACCUGAAACCGUGUACGUACAAGCAGUGGGAGCACCUUCGGGUGUGACUGCGUACCUUUUGUAUAAUGGGUCAGCGACUUAUAUUCUGUAGCAAGGUUAACCGUAUAGGGGAGCCGCAGGGAAACCGAGUCUUAACUGGGCGUUAAGUUGCAGGGUAUAGACCCGAAACCCGGUGAUCUAGCCAUGGGCAGGUUGAAGGUUGGGUAACACUAACUGGAGGACCGAACCGACUAAUGUUGAAAAAUUAGCGGAUGACUUGUGGCUGGGGGUGAAAGGCCAAUCAAACCGGGAGAUAGCUGGUUCUCCCCGAAAGCUAUUUAGGUAGCGCCUCGUGAACUCAUCUUCGGGGGUAGAGCACUGUUUCGGCUAGGGGGUCAUCCCGACUUACCAACCCGAUGCAAACUACGAAUACCGAAGAAUGUUAUCACGGGAGACACACGGCGGGUGCUAACGUCCGUCGUGAAGAGGGAAACAACCCAGACCGCCAGCUAAGGUCCCAAAGUCAUGGUUAAGUGGGAAACGAUGUGGGAAGGCACAGACAGCCAGGAUGUUGGCUUAGAAGCAGCCAUCAUUUAAAGAAAGCGUAAUAGCUCACUGGUCGAGUCGGCCUGCGCGGAAGAUGUAACGGGGCUAAACCAUGCACCGAAGCUGCGGCAGCGACACUAUGUGUUGUUGGGUAGGGGAGCGUUCUGUAAGCCUGCGAAGGUGNUGCUGGAGGUAUCAGAAGUGCGAAUGCUGACAUAAGUAACGAUAAAGCGGGUGAAAAGCCCGCUCGCCGGAAGACCAAGGGUUCCUGUCCAACGUUAAUCGGGGCAGGGUGAGUCGACCCCUAAGGCGAGGCCGAAAGGCGUAGUCGAUGGGAAACAGGUUAAUAUUCCUGUACUUGGUGUUACUGCGAAGGGGGGACGGAGAAGGCUAUGUUAGCCGGGCGACGGUUGUCCCGGUUUAAGCAUGUAGGCUGGUUGUCCAGGCAAAUCCGGAUAAUCAAGGCUGAGGUGUGAUGACGAGGCACUACGGUGCUGAAGUAACAAAUGCCCUGCUUCCAGGAAAAGCCUCUAAGCAUCAGGUAACAUUAAAUCGUACCCCAAACCGACACAGGUGGUCAGGUAGAGAAUACCAAGGCGCUUGAGAGAACUCGGGUGAAGGAACUAGGCAAAAUGGUGCCGUAACUUCGGGAGAAGGCACGCUGGUGUGUAGGUGAAGCCCCUGCGGGUGGAGCUGAGACCAGUCGAAGAUACCAGCUGGCUGCAACUGUUUAUUAAAAACACAGCACUGUGCAAACACGAAAGUGGACGUAUACGGUGUGACGCCUGCCCGGUGCCGGAAGGUUAAUUGAUGGGGUUAUCCGUAAGGAGAAGCUCUUGAUCGAAGCCCCGGUAAACGGCGGCCGUAACUAUAACGGUCCUAAGGUAGCGAAAUUCCUUGUCGGGUAAGUUCCGACCUGCACGAAUGGCGUAAUGAUGGCCAGGCUGUCUCCACCCGAGACUCAGUGAAAUUGAACUCGCUGUGAAGAUGCAGUGUACCCGCGGCAAGACGGAAAGACCCCGUGAACCUUUACUAUAGCUUGACACUGAACAUUGAGCCUUGAUGUGUAGGAUAGGUGGGAGGCUUUGAAGCGUGGACGCCAGUCUGCGUGGAGCCAACCUUGAAAUACCACCCUUUAAUGUUUGAUGUUCUAACGUUGGCCCCUGACCGGGGUUGCGGACAGUGUCUGGUGGGUAGUUUGACUGGGGCGGUCUCCUCCCAAAGCGUAACGGAGGAGCACGAAGGUUAGCUAAUCCUGGUCGGACAUCAGGAGGUUAGUGCAAUGGCAUAAGCUAGCUUGACUGCGAGCGUGACGGCGCGAGCAGGUGCGAAAGCAGGUCAUAGUGAUCCGGUGGUUCUGAAUGGAAGGGCCAUCGCUCAACGGAUAAAAGGUACUCCGGGGAUAACAGGCUGAUACCGCCCAAGAGUUCAUAUCGACGGCGGUGUUUGGCACCUCGAUGUCGGCUCAUCACAUCCUGGGGCUGAAGUAGGUCCCAAGGGUAUGGCUGUUCGCCAUUUAAAGUGGUACGCGAGCUGGGUUUAGAACGUCGUGAGACAGUUCGGUCCCUAUCUGCCGUGGGCGCUGGAGAAUUGAGGGGGGCUGCUCCUAGUACGAGAGGACCGGAGUGGACGCAUCACUGGUGUUCGGGUUGUCAUGCCAAUGGCACUGCCCGGUAGCUAAAUGCGGAAGAGAUAAGUGCUGAAAGCAUCUAAGCACGAAACUUGCCCCGAGAUGAGUUCUCCCUGAGACUUUAAGUCUCCUGAAGGAACGUU
This 2447-nucleotide ribosomal RNA is filed under the name Klebsiella pneumoniae. RNAcentral describes it as "23S ribosomal RNA". It matches the Rfam family "Bacterial large subunit ribosomal RNA", at positions 399 to 2839 of the family's 2925-position model. The record is from RNAcentral. Lineage: Bacteria; Pseudomonadati; Pseudomonadota; Gammaproteobacteria; Enterobacterales; Enterobacteriaceae.